UUGAUACUGUUGAGUUUGAUUUUUUUCCAUCUGCAAUAAAACUGCCCACAAUGACCUGUACUGGUGAUGCCGCUAUAAGCAUUCCAGCAACUCCUCCACCCAAAACCCUACCAUCUGAACCUGCUAAUGAUAUACUCAAACCACCAGCUCGGCUGCGACUACCAUUAUCUUCAGAAGGCAAGAAAGAACCUGAUAGAGAAAUAAUCUCAAACCGGCCCUCAUAUGUCACAGUACCACCAGACAAUGCUGGCUGACGAAGGGGAACAUUACAAACGGCACCAUUCGCAGAAAGAAUACAAAUGGUCCGUGGCCCUUGCUGAGAGAAAGCCAUGAUCUUUGAUGAUAUGUCCUCCCCUGCAUUCACCGUUAUCACAUGAGGUGUAAACCCAACACCUCCAAUCCCUCCUAAAGCAUCAAGCUGCUUCUUGCCAGAACCUGGCGGCCUUCCUCUAUUACGCUUAGAAGGAGGCUCAGAGGCCACGCC
This 484-nucleotide unclassified non-coding RNA is filed under the name Hevea brasiliensis (rubber tree). Lineage: Eukaryota; Viridiplantae; Streptophyta; Magnoliopsida; Malpighiales; Euphorbiaceae. The record is from RNAcentral.